Molecule: transfer RNA, 72 nt
Filed under: Bos taurus (domestic cattle)
Lineage: Eukaryota; Metazoa; Chordata; Mammalia; Artiodactyla; Bovidae
Also listed under: 2 other names
Rfam family: tRNA
About the family: Transfer RNA (tRNA) molecules are approximately 80 nucleotides in length. Their secondary structure includes four short double-helical elements and three loops (D, anti-codon, and T loops).
Source: Rfam by way of RNAcentral
UCCCUCACAGCUCAGUUGGCAAAUCAUCUGCCUGCAAUGCAGGAGACCCAGGUUCGAUUCCUGGGUAGGGAA